GAUGAACGCUGGCGGCGUGCCUAAUACAUGCAAGUCGAGCGAACAGACGAGGAGCUUGCUCCUCUGACGUUAGCGGCGGACGGGUGAGUAACACGUGGAUAACCUACCUAUAAGACUGGGAUAAUUUCGGGAAACCGGAGCUAAUACCGGAUAAUAUAUUGAACCGCAUGGUUCAAUAGAGAAAGAUGCUUUUGCUGUUACUUAUAGAUGCAUUCGGGCGGCAUUAGCUGGUUGGUAAGGUCACGGCUUAGCAAGGCGCCGAUGCGGAGCCGACCUCGGAGAGUGAGAGGCCACACUGGAACUCAGACACGGUCACUACUCCUACGCGAGGGAGCAGAGGGGAAUCUUCCGCAACAGGCGCGAACUUGACGGAGCGACGCCGCGUGAGUGAUAAAAAUCUUCGGAUCGUGAAAAUCUCUUUUGAGGGAAGAGCAAAUGUGUAAGUAACUAUGCACGUCUUGACGGUACCUAAACAGAAAGCGCCGGCUAACUACGUG
This 497-nucleotide ribosomal RNA is filed under the name uncultured bacterium. RNAcentral describes it as "partial 16S ribosomal RNA". It matches the Rfam family "Bacterial small subunit ribosomal RNA", at positions 28 to 507 of the family's 1533-position model. The record is from RNAcentral.